This 497-nucleotide ribosomal RNA is filed under the name uncultured bacterium. RNAcentral's name for it is "partial 16S ribosomal RNA". It matches the Rfam family "Bacterial small subunit ribosomal RNA", at positions 28 to 507 of the family's 1533-position model. The record is from RNAcentral.
GAUGAACGCUGGCGGCGUGCCUAAUACAUGCAAGUCGAGCGAACAGGCGAGGAGCUUGCUCCUCUGCCGUUAGCGGCGGACGGGUGAGUAACACGUGGAUAACCUACCUAUAAGACUGGGAUAACUUCGGGAAACCGGAGCUAAUACCGGAUAAUAUAUUGAACCGCAUGGUUCAAUAGUGAAAGACGGUUUUGCUGUCACUUAUAGAUGUAUCCGCGCCGCAUUAGCUAGUUGGUAAGGUAACGGCUUACCAAGGCGACGAUGCGUAGCCGACCUGAGAGGGUGAUCGGCCACACUGGAACUGAGACACGGUCCAGACUCCUACGGGAGGCAGCAGUAGGGAAUCUUCCGCAAUGGGCGAAAGCCUGACGGAGCAACGCCGCGUGAGUGAUGAAGGUCUUCGGAUCGUAAAACUCUGUUAUUAGGGAAGAACAAAUGUGUAAGUAACUAUGCACGUCUUGACGGUACCUAAUCAGAAAGCCACGGCUAACUACGUG